GACGAACCGUGCGAACGUUGUUCGGAUUCACUGGGCUUAAAGGGCGCGUAGGCGGGCCCCACAGUCGGGGGUGAAAUCUUUCGGCCCAACCGGAAAAUCGCCUCCGAUACUCGGGGCCUCGAGGGGGGUAGGGGCAUGCGGAACUUCGGGUGGAGCGGUGAAAUGCGUAGAUAUCCGAAGGAACGCCGGUGGCGAAAGCGGCGUGCUGGACCCCUUCUGACGCUGAGGCGCGAAAGCCAGGGGAG
RNAcentral lists this ribosomal RNA (245 nucleotides) under uncultured bacterium. Its description in RNAcentral is "partial 16S ribosomal RNA". It matches the Rfam family "Bacterial small subunit ribosomal RNA", at positions 524 to 768 of the family's 1533-position model. The record is from RNAcentral.